CAAAAGCUUGGUCCUGACUUUACUAUCAGCUUUGGCCAAAUUUACACAUGCAAGUAUCCGCACCCCUGUGAGAAUGCCCUACAAUUCCCCCUUCCCGGGGACAAGGAGCCGGUAUCAGGCACAACCCAUUGUUUAGCCCACGACACCUUGCUCAGCCACACCCCCAAGGGAACUCAGCAGUGAUAAACAUUAAGCCAUAAGUGAAAACUUGACUUAAUUAAGGCCAACAGAGCCAGCAAAACUCGUGCCAGCCGCCGCGGUUAUACGAGGGGCUCAAGUUGAUACUUCUCGGCGUAAAGGGUGGUUAAGAAACCUCAAACUAAAGCCAAACAUCUUCAAAGCUGUCAUACGCACCCGAAGAAAUGAAGACCUAUCACGAAAGUAGCUUUAAAAAUUCUGACCCCACGAAAGCUAGGACACAAACUGGGAUUAGAUACCCCACUAUGCCCAGCCCUAAACACAAGUAGUAAUAUUACACCUACCACUCGCCCGGGAACUACGAGCAUAAGCUUAAAACCCAAAGGACUUGGCGGUGCUUUAGACCCCCCUAGAGGAGCCUGUUCUAGAACCGAUAACCCCCGUUCAACCUCACCCUCCCUUGUUUUCCCCGCCUAUAUACCGCCGUCGUCAGCUUACCCUGUGAAGGGUACAUAGUAAGCAGAAUUGGCACACCCCAAAACGUCAGGUCGAGGUGUAGCGCAUGAGAGGGGAAGAAAUGGGCUACAUUUGCUGACACAGCACAUACGAAUAAUGCAUUGAAACAUGCAUCUGAAGGAGGAUUUAGCAGUAAGAAGGAGAAUAGAGAGUUCCCCUGAAACUGGCCCUGAAGCGCGCACACACCGCCCGUCACUCUCCCCGAAACCAAAACAAGCCAUAAAUAAACCGCAAUAAACAUGAAGGGGAGGCAAGUCGUAACAUGGUAAGUGUACCGGAAGGUGCACUUGGAAAAAU
Molecule: non-coding RNA, 951 nt
Filed under: Eleotris fusca (dusky sleeper)
Lineage: Eukaryota; Metazoa; Chordata; Actinopteri; Gobiiformes; Eleotridae
Description: 12S ribosomal RNA
Rfam family: Bacterial small subunit ribosomal RNA
Source: RNAcentral